Triticum dicoccoides is the source of this 894-nucleotide long non-coding RNA. RefSeq lists it as uncharacterized. NCBI's taxonomy places the organism in Eukaryota, Viridiplantae, Streptophyta, Magnoliopsida, Poales, Poaceae. The record is from RefSeq and is a predicted model, not a curated record. The transcript has 4 exons.
CCCCCUUCCUCUGCUCCGAGCCUCCAGGUGCAGUUGGGAUGCAGUCCAUCCGCCCUUUGUCCACCGGUGCCGUUGCUCUACUCCGCCCUCUGGCCACCGGCGCCGUUGCUCUGCUCCACUGCCGUCAUUGUUUGCCAGGAACCCGGUUUUAUCCACGUCUUCCCCAGGUCAACAGAGCCGCAUUUAGUUCACUGCUUCUGACUAAGCUUCUCGACGUGGAGGUCAUUGAUGAUUGACUGUUCACUUCCUCUCCCCACGAUCUCCACAAGUAACUGACUUAUUGAUCUCCACAACUAACUAACUUAUUCCCAUUUAAAUUGGGUGCACCACAACCCAUUUCAUUCCCAUCGUCCUCCAUAGCAGUCAUACAGCUACUCCUGCUUUGGACUUCCUCAGGUACUGGAAAAAAUUGGACACCCGGCCUCCAAUCUUGGUUGUUCUUCCCCUGCUUCAUACCCAGACGCCUUGGAUUGAUGGCUCCUUUAGCCACAGGGAUGAUAGCUAAUUCAGCUGUUCAAGCGGAAGCACAUGGUCUAAAGUUGGCAGCAAAUCUUUUGGAAUCUCUACACAUUCAGGAAGCUGCGGUGCUAACAGACAACCUCACUGUGGCAAAAGCUGUUGCAGCAAGAUCGCCAAGGAAGGAACUAGGGAAUUGACAAAUAAGAAGCUAUAUAGCAGACUUUUGUGCAAUGAUAGAGUUCAAGAACAUUCAGGUCUACCAUGUUAACAGAGAUCAAAACAGCAUAGAACAUGAAGCUGCAAGGUUAGCAAUCACACAGGAUCAUGUAGCUUCUCCUAUCCAUAGGUUUAGUUGCACUAAUCCUGUUCAUACUAGAGGGCAUUGUCCCCUGCUUCAGAGAUUAAUGCACACUCAAAUGCAGGGAUUUGUACUUC